This 400-nucleotide ribosomal RNA is filed under the name uncultured bacterium. RNAcentral describes it as "bacterial SSU rRNA". It matches the Rfam family "Bacterial small subunit ribosomal RNA", at positions 356 to 773 of the family's 1533-position model. The record is from RNAcentral.
GGGGAAUCUUGCGCAAUGGGCGAAAGCCUGACGCAGCCAUGCCGCGUGAAUGAUGAAGGUUUUAGGAUUGUAAAAUUCUUUCACCGGGGACGAUAAUGACGGUACCCGGAGAAGAAGCCCCGGCUAACUUCGUGCCAGCAGCCGCGGUAAUACGAAGGGGGCUAGCGUUGCUCGGAAUUACUGGGCGUAAAGGGCGCGUAGGCGGACAUUUAAGUCAGGGGUGAAAUCCCAGAGCUCAACUCUGGAACUGCCUUUGAUACUGGAUGUCUUGAGUGUGAGAGAGGUAUGUGGAACUCCGAGUGUAGAGGUGAAAUUCGUAGAUAUUCGGAAGAACACCAGUGGCGAAGGCGACAUACUGGCUCAUUACUGACGCUGAGGCGCGAAAGCGUGGGGAGCAAAC